CCCAACCCCAACCCCAUCUCAUCCCCAUCCCCAUCCCAUCCCCAUCCCCAUCCAGCCGCCAAUGACCACCUCCCUCUCCGACAACCGGCGAGCUCCCCACUCCCAGACUCGUCGGCGACCUUCCGGCCUCCGCCUUCUACGCCACCCUUCUCUCCCUACACCCCAGAUCGAAUCCAGCAGCUCAGGACGAAACCCUAGCUCGAUGCCAUGGCCACACCAGCAGCAGUCCCUCCCUCCCUAGCCCGCGGCCAUGGCGACCUAGCAGGCAAGAGGAACCUGAACCCUAUCACCGGCCAUGGCGAGCGUGGAAGGCACCAUGGGAGAGGAGGCAUGUGCUGCUGCUCAAGACCCUAAACCAGAAAGGAAGUAAUAAGCUGCUCCGACCCAUCUCAUCCUCUCAGAUUUCCUCAGAUUUGGUACAAGAAAAUGAUCCAGCUCAUUAGAGUAGUAUUUUUCUGCGACGUUGCCUAUUUUGUUGUUGAACUGGCCCUAUUAUUCUGUCAAAUGAGUCUUUUUGUUUUUCCUUCUUUGAAAUGAAGCAUAUUGCUUUCGAGUGCUAGACAUCACGGAGCUGUUCUAUUCUUUUGAAUGACUUGUAAGAAGGAGCCAACCAUUUGCCAGCUCUAUUAUAGUUGUUCAAAACGAAAAAAAAACAGGUUCUUGCCUACCUGAAAGAUCUUUACAAAAAAAUGAUUUGUUAUUCGCAUGAUCUCAUCUGGUUUGGCGCCUCCCUACAAUCUCACUAGAGUACGACUACUAUUUUUCUCUGAAGUUGCCUAUUUUGUGUAUAGUGCUAGACAUUAUGAGCUGCUCUAUUCUAUUUUGUGUACAUCUAGUUUGCCUCUAUCAGUAUUCUUUUUAAGAAGGCCGCGCAUGUCUCUCCAAAAUCUUCAACUUUCGGUCUCGUAAUAUUUCUGUAGGCUCUUCCUCACCUCACCUUUUCUCUCUCCCUGAUCGAGCACCUUCGCCAUGGGAGAGGAAGGUUGUUUCAUCCGCCUGCUGUACUGCUGCUCUAGGGGACAUGCACCUGCUUGUUGUGCUGCUGCUCUGUACGCCAUGGACAUCCCUCCUCUGGUUCUCCUCGCUCGUCAAGGUAGUAAGCUGCUCUAACCCAUCUUCCCCUCUCAAAUUCGGUACAAGAAAAUGAUUUUUGUAACUGGACAUCAAAAGCAGAACCGGUGUGUGUUGUUGGUCAAGCAAGAAGAAAGAAAAAAGGCAUCCGUUGCCUGCAAAACAAAUCUGUGUGUGUGCUGCUCUCCUCCUCCUCUGUUUUUGCUUGUGUCAAUUUGCUCCAACAGCUUGCGCGCGUGUGUGCAUCCAUUGGGAGAGAGAGAGGCUCUUGCCAACACCUCUACAAUCUCACCGGAGUUCUAUUUUUCUGUGAUGUUGCCUAUUUUGUUGUUGAAAUUGACCGUAUCCCUGUGUCAAAUGGAUAUUUUUUCCUCCAUUGAAAUGAAGCAUAUUGCUUUUGAGUGCUCACAUUGACAUUACUGUGGAAUAAAAUGUUCAUUAUAUGCUCUUCUGUUGAAUAACGUGUAAAACAGGUCCAGCCAUUUGCCAAGUCUAUUAUAUUUGUUCUAAAAGAAAAGAAAAAAA
RNAcentral lists this long non-coding RNA (1596 nucleotides) under Hordeum vulgare. RNAcentral's name for it is "long non-coding RNA (HVUL_LNC004223)". Lineage: Eukaryota; Viridiplantae; Streptophyta; Magnoliopsida; Poales; Poaceae. The record is from RNAcentral.